RNAcentral lists this transfer RNA (65 nucleotides) under Dipodomys ordii (Ord's kangaroo rat). It matches the Rfam family "tRNA". From Rfam's summary of the family: Transfer RNA (tRNA) molecules are approximately 80 nucleotides in length. Their secondary structure includes four short double-helical elements and three loops (D, anti-codon, and T loops). Further hydrogen bonds mediate the characteristic L-shaped molecular structure. tRNAs have two regions of fundamental functional importance: the anti-codon, which is responsible for specific mRNA codon recognition, and the 3' end, to which the tRNAs corresponding amino acid is attached (by aminoacyl-tRNA synthetases). tRNAs cope with the degeneracy of the genetic code in two manners: having more than one tRNA (with a specific anti-codon) for a particular amino acid; and 'wobble' base-pairing, i.e. permitting non-standard base-pairing at the 3rd anti-codon position. Lineage: Eukaryota; Metazoa; Chordata; Mammalia; Rodentia; Heteromyidae. The record is from Rfam by way of RNAcentral.
GGUGGCUUAAUGGUAGAGUGCUUGCCUUGCAUGCACGAGGCCCUGGGUUCAAUUCCUCAGCACCA